CCUCAUUUUAUAGAUGAGGAAACUGAGGCUAUGAGAGCUUAAGUAACAUGCCCAAGGUGAGACAUUUUCAGGGCAUGGCCUCAUGUAACAGCAGAUGAAGUCACCAGACCUUCCAUCAAAGUGGAAAUGACCCAUUAUUCACCAGGGAGGAGCAGAGCAGUGUCUGCACAAGCAGGGAAGCUGGGAGGCAUCGUGCUCUCCUGAUCCCGUCAGCCACAUCACCUGUCCACUAUACAGGCCCUGGCCUGAUGGCCACUGCCCCUGCUCCAUGGGCACAAUGAUUUAGAUGGAUUAUCUCAUUUUCUUCCUGUUUUGCAGAUGAGGACAUCGGAUUCCCCACAGAAGUUAGGCUUCUUAUCCGAGGUUACACAGCUCAGAGAGGAAAGAGGAGAUUAGAACGAGGUGUACCAACUCCUAGUCUGGUGCAAAAUAGGACCCCAAGUUUCCAUCAGCACCAACUUCUCAAGAAAUCAGUGUGAUUGCCUGGAAGCAGGACUAAGAUGAAUGUCGCUCUGUUCGAGGUUUUCUUCACGUCUGCAAAGGAGAUGAAAGAACAGGUGUCACCUGCCCAGGCUGAAUUUGAAGGGUUCGAACUGCAGGCCUCAAAAGUAUCACGCUUCUGUUUAUUUCUCCUGAGACCUUGUGCCUUCUCCUCACUGGCCACUUCCCGAAUCAGUCCCAAGAAAAAUGUACCCCAGAAUUGCCUGGGCACUUCAUUAGAGACCAGCUAGUUGUUUCCUGGGGGGGGGGGGGUCAACCUGAUUUACAUCCACUACUGAGCAAGAUCCAUUCCUCUGAAGAAAGAACCCCAGGAUCAGAAGCAGUGUUCAUGAUAUACUUCUAAAUUUAAAAACCAGAUUACAAAAUAAUACGUAAGUUAUGAUAGUAUUUGGGGAGAAAAAAUAACAAUAACAGUUCAUGUUUUUUGAGUGCUUAUUAUGUGCCAGACAUGGUGCUACCCAUUAAUCUUCAGAGAGACACAACGAGGCAGCUAUGGCAUGAGUUAGGAAUGGCCCGAGG
RNAcentral lists this long non-coding RNA (1020 nucleotides) under Felis catus (domestic cat). RNAcentral describes it as "lncRNA (ENSFCAG00000052535.1)". Lineage: Eukaryota; Metazoa; Chordata; Mammalia; Carnivora; Felidae. The record is from RNAcentral.